AUAUUCGUACCCAUGAAGGCUAUUUUUGUGACUCAUCACAAGCAAUUUCGCUUACCGGAAGCAUGUUUCUUCAAAGGGCAUGGAGGCAAGUUGCUUUUGGAGUAUACGGAUUCACCCAAUUCACCAAAUCCGGUUUUCAAGAACAUUCGAAGAAGUUCAAGGCGGAGGAUAUGCAAGUCCAAAUGGAAGGAAAGAAUUGUUUGGUGACAGGAGGAAAUUCUGGCAUUGGUUUCGCUGCAGCUGAGGGUCUUGCUUCCCGGUAAUGGUUUUUUGUUUUAAUUAUUUUUUAUGUUAGAUGGGAUACAAUUUCGAAUUUUAUUUUCUUCAGUAUUUAGCUGAAUUUUCUUUGCUGGUGUACUGUUCUAACUGUAUGAAUUGAAUGAUAUUUCACCAUAAUAUAAUUCAUUGCUAUUAUAUCAUUUUAAUCUAUGCUUCAUAUUGAUCUCUGGCGAAAACUUUGAACUAAACAUUACCUAAAAUUGUAUUAAGGACAGAAAUACUGAAAAAAAAAAAA
Dendrobium catenatum is the source of this 514-nucleotide long non-coding RNA. RefSeq lists it as uncharacterized. NCBI's taxonomy places the organism in Eukaryota, Viridiplantae, Streptophyta, Magnoliopsida, Asparagales, Orchidaceae. The transcript has 3 exons. The record is from RefSeq and is a predicted model, not a curated record.